GCAGGCUGUGAUGGUCCAAGAGCCCCUCCUCUCUCAAGCCAGAAUUCCCAGCCUCUCUAAUGAACAGCUCUCCCUCCCUCUCCCACAUGCCUGGCGCUCUGCCUAUUUGCAGCUGAAGGGAAGAAUUAGGCAGCUGCUCCUUCUUCCAGACUCCCAGAUCCUCAUCUUAUCUUCUGUGGCAGCAAACACUCCAGCCUCUGUGAACAAAACCUAUCCUUUACAGUCGUGGAUUGUACUGAUUCAUUCGCUGAUUACACUGGAGCGUGAAUGCAUUUCCAUAUCUGUGUUACUCUGGCCAAUUAUAUGCAUUUGAAGACUUUAUUGCAAAGAGAUUUGCUUUGUUUAAAGGAUUAAGACUCAGGUGCUAUCUGUGUGAAGCCACAGACAAGAAAGAAGAGAGAGGAAAAAGGAAGCAGAAAUGACAGUGGUGCUAGUAUGCUGACACAAAAGUGCCAGACCACAUUUCUGUGAAUUUUUGACACUCAGAGGAGAAAUGAUUAAGGCAAUGGCACCCCACUCCAGUACUCUUGCCUGGAGAAUCCCAUGGACGGAGGAGCCUGGUGGGCUGCCGUCUAUGGGGUUGCACAGAGUCGAACACGACUGAAGCGGCUUAGCAGCAGCAGCAGCAGCAGACUAGUCAGUUUCUCUACCUACUCUUGAUUCCAUAUUAUAAGCUUAUAUUUUCUGUAAGAUUAUCUACUUCACAUUGAUUUUAUAAUUAAUUAUAUAAAAUUAUAUAAAUAAAGUUUGUGCUAAU
Bos taurus (domestic cattle) is the source of this 757-nucleotide long non-coding RNA. The record is from Ensembl. Lineage: Eukaryota; Metazoa; Chordata; Mammalia; Artiodactyla; Bovidae.